CAACAAUCAAGCCCCGCUUGGUGUUGGGCCCGCGGCCGGUCCCCCAGGACCGGCCCGCCCGAAACGCAUCGGCGAGGAGACCGACCCCCGGCGUCUUGAGAAUCUCACGGUUCGUACGUCGGGAGCACCGGUGGCCUCCGCCGCGACCUUUUUUACUUCUAA
RNAcentral lists this unclassified non-coding RNA (162 nucleotides) under uncultured fungus. RNAcentral's name for it is "sequence contains ITS2". RNAcentral also lists the same sequence under 1 other name. The record is from RNAcentral. Lineage: Eukaryota; Fungi.